Molecule: ribosomal RNA, 465 nt
Filed under: uncultured bacterium
Lineage: Bacteria
Description: partial 16S ribosomal RNA
Rfam family: Bacterial small subunit ribosomal RNA
Source: RNAcentral
GACGAACGCUGGCGGCGUGCUUAACACAUGCAAGUCGAACGGAAAGGCCCCCUUGUGGGGUACUCGAGUGGCGAACGGGUGAGUAACACGUGAGUAACCUACCCUUGACUUUGGGAUAACUUCAGGAAACUGGGGCUAAUACCGGAUAGGAGCUCCUGCUGCAUGGUGGGGGUUGGAAAGUUUCGGCGGUUGGGGAUGGACUCGCGGCUUAUCAGCUUGUUGGUGGGGUAGUGGCUCACCAAGGCUUUGACGGGUAGCCGGCCUGAGAGGGUGACCGGCCACAUUGGGACUGAGAUACGGCCCAGACUCCUACGGGAGGCAGCAGCGGGGAAUAUUGCACAAUGGGCGGAAGCCUGAUGCAGCAACGCCGCGUGCGGGAUGACGGCCUUCGGGUUGUAAACCGCUUUCGCCUGUGACGAAGCGUGAGUGACGGUAAUGGGUAAAGAAGCACCGGCUAACUACGUG